This 965-nucleotide ribosomal RNA is filed under the name Clostridioides difficile. Its description in RNAcentral is "partial 23S ribosomal RNA". It matches the Rfam family "Bacterial large subunit ribosomal RNA", at positions 398 to 1373 of the family's 2925-position model. Lineage: Bacteria; Bacillati; Bacillota; Clostridia; Peptostreptococcales; Peptostreptococcaceae. The record is from RNAcentral.
AGAUAUGAUCCAGAGUACCACGGGACACGUGAAACCCUGUGGGAAGCAGGAGGGACCACCCUCCAAGGCUAAAUACUACCUAGUGACCGAUAGCGUAUAGUACCGUGAGGGAAAGGUGAAAAGAACCCCGGGAGGGGAGUGAAAUAGAACCUGAAACCCUGCACUUACAAGCUGUGGAAGCACAUUUCUUGUGUGACCGCGUACUUUUUGUAGAACGGGCCAACGAGUUACGUUAAGUAGCAAGGUUAAGCACUUAAGGUGCGGAGCCGUAGCGAAAGCGAGUUUUAACUGAGCGUUCAGUUACUUGACGUAGACCCGAAACCGGGCGACCUACCCAUGAGCAGGAUGAAGCGAAAGUAAAAUUUCGUGGAGGUCCGAACCCACGAGCGUUGAAAAGCUCGGGGAUGACUUGUGGGUAGCGGUGAAAUUCCAAUCGAGCCCGGAGAUAGCUGGUUCUCCCCGAAAUAGCUUUAGGGCUAGCCUCAAGGUGAGAGAUACGGAGGUAGAGCACUGAAUGUCCUAGGGGGUAUUGCACCUACCGAAGACUAUCAAACUCCGAAUGCCGUCAUCUUAUACUUGGGAGUCAGACUGUGGGUGAUAAGAUUCAUAGUCGAAAGGGCAACAGCCCAGAUCGUCAGCUAAGGUCCCUAAAUGUAAGUUAAGUGGUAAAGGAUGUGGGAUUGCACAGACAACCAGGAUGUUGGCUUAGAAGCAGCCACUCAUUCAAAGAGUGCGUAAUAGCUCACUGGUCGAGUGAUCCUGCGCCGAAGAUUUCCGGGGCUAAAACUUACUACCGAAGCUACGGCAUCAGUAAUGAUGGGUAGGGGAGCUUCCCAUACGGGUUGAAGCAUGACCGUAAGGACAUGUGGACAGUAUGGGAGUGAGAAUGUUGGCAUGAGUAGCGAGAUGUGGGUGAGAAUCCCACAGGCCGUAAACCCAAGGUUUCCAGGGGAAGGUUCGUCCGC